GCGGUGGCUCCACGCGGUGACGUCAGGAGCAGCUGGAGUCGGGGAUUACCCCCUGCUGCUGACGUGAGGACGGUGAACAAUCGGGAACGUUCGGUGGAAGGGGGAAUUCCCCGCCGCUCUGUGAGGCGCCCCUCCUCCCGCACUCCCCCGCCCUGGGCUGCUUCGGAGUCCGGGCUGUUGGGGCCGCCGGGAGGGCGAGAGAGGAGUGCUGCGCCCGGAGGCGGCCGCGCAGGCUCGAGUGGCGCGCGGCGCGGCGUCUUCUCCAGUUCUAAGCUCCCGAAGCCGCGCCGCAGCUUCUCCGAGCUUCAAGCUGCGGAAGACGCCGCGGCGCGCGCCUUUCGCCGGGUACCCCGCUCGGGCUUCGCGCUCGGGCCUGGGUGAAGCGGCGCUCACACCGCGCCUAUGCCCAGCCCUGCGCAGGCGGAACGUCUGCCGAGCCGGCGCCGGAGCGAUAGGGUGGACUGAGGGGAUGCUCCACCGUGGCGUGCGAACGCGGACUGUGUCGGGCGUGAGAGGAGCACACGGGAGCCCUACGGCGGAGGAAAGCAGACGUGCUGGGAGCCAAGCCCAGACUCUCGGAGGAUAAGGAAACAGGUUGAGAUUGACGUGUUUAACAGUACGGAAUAUGGAAGUUGGGCACCACGACUUGGCUGUACCACAUUUAAACAAGUCUAUUAGGGGCUUGAUCCACUUUGUUUUCUCUACACCACGUUGUUUCCGUAUAAGCGACUUAUGUAUUGGGAGAGGACCUGCUCGUGCUUUUAUUUGUAAGCAUGAUAUCAAACCAAGAAAAAGUAAACAAAAAAAGAUAAAACUGAUAACUUGGAAACACAA
Macaca mulatta (Rhesus monkey) is the source of this 834-nucleotide non-coding RNA. NCBI's taxonomy places the organism in Eukaryota, Metazoa, Chordata, Mammalia, Primates, Cercopithecidae. The record is from RefSeq and is a predicted model, not a curated record.